Molecule: unclassified non-coding RNA, 230 nt
Filed under: Glomus sp.
Lineage: Eukaryota; Fungi; Glomeromycota; Glomeromycetes; Glomerales; Glomeraceae
Description: partial internal transcribed spacer 2
Rfam family: 5.8S ribosomal RNA (bases 1-65)
Source: RNAcentral
GUGAAUCAUCGAAUUUUUGAACGCAAAUUGCACUCUCUUCUGAGAGGAUGCGUGUUUGAGUGUGAGCCUAAAAAAAAUCGUCAUAAUCGCUGUUUCGCGGUGACAUUCGUGGGACAGUGGGUUAGCUCUGACCUUUGUGCUUUAUGCGGCUUAAAAUUUUCUUUACGAUUCUACGAACGCUUCUGAGAUUUACUUCUUACACGUUUAAGGUAAUCGAUCUUUAUUAGACU